This 114-nucleotide ribosomal RNA is filed under the name Lepisosteus oculatus (spotted gar). Lineage: Eukaryota; Metazoa; Chordata; Actinopteri; Semionotiformes; Lepisosteidae. The record is from RNAcentral.
GCUAGCAGCUAUAUCCUACAGGUCUCAACUGGCUACCCACUGAAGCCAAGCAGGGUUGAGCCUGGUCAGUACCUGGAUUGGAGGUCUCAUGGGAAGCUACGGUUGCUGCUGGAA